UGCUGGACCAAUUUCAAAAACUAAAAACUAAGGUUUUAAAUAUUUUGCAAUAUUCCAUAUAUAAUGAUUGAUAUAAAUAAGUAAAAUUAACAUUAUCACUUUUUUCUGUUCAAAAAAAGAAAGAAAAUAAGCACAAGAAGGAACCAUCAGAGACCAAAGUUUAUCCCCAGAAGCUUUAAGCUAUUGUACGGUCCGCAUCAUGGUUUGAACUUUCUCGACAAAGAAAGAUCCAUCACUUGGUUCCUCGUAGUUGUGAAAUCUCUUCAAUUAUAAAAUUACAUUAAAACUGAAAUAAUUCCAAAGCUGAAAAAUGAAUUGAAAAAUGAAAAUAAAAACUAGAAAUUGAAAACAUUUUUUUAUUCCAGAAUUAAAAGAUUUCAAAGCAGUAAAUAAAAAUAUCUUUUAGAAACAAUAAAUCAAAAAUUGUAAAAUAAAACAGGAAAACAUUUUUACUGCGAUUUCGAAGCAGAAAAAUUCUCGAAUCUGAGUAAAAUAAUUCGGAAAAAAAAAAAGUGAAACUAAAUUGAAAGAGCUCAGAAAUUGAAUGGGUACAUAAAAUUAUCAUCAACCUGAUAAUAGUCAGAGUGGUGCAUGACAAUUUCUCAUCACAGCUCUUCAUAAGCUUCAAUAUAAAUGAAAAUCAAAACCCUAAUUUGUACUAACACUAAUGAACAUAUACCUUGGGUGCGCAUAUGGAGGGGUG
This 703-nucleotide long non-coding RNA is filed under the name Olea europaea subsp. europaea. Lineage: Eukaryota; Viridiplantae; Streptophyta; Magnoliopsida; Lamiales; Oleaceae. The record is from RNAcentral.